ACGGGUGAGUAACGCGUGGGAAUCUACCCAUCUCUACGGAAUAACGCAUGGAAACGUGUGCUAAUACCGUAUACGUCCUUCGGGAGAAAGAUUUAUCGGAGAUGGAUGAGCCCGCGUUGGAUUAGCUAGUUGGUGGGGUAAAGGCCUACCAAGGCGACGAUCCAUAGCUGGUCUGAGAGGAUGAUCAGCCACACUGGGACUGAGACACGGCCCAGACUCCUACGGGAGGCAGCAGUGGGGAAUAUUGGACAAUGGGCGCAAGCCUGAUCCAGCCAUGCCGCGUGAGUGAUGAAGGCCCUAGGGUUGUAAAGCUCUUUCACCGGUGAAGAUAAUGACGGUAACCGGAGAAGAAGCCCCGGCUAACUUCGUGCCAGCAGCCGCGGUAAUACGAAGGGGGCUAGCGUUGUUCGGAUUUACUGGGCGUAAAGCGCACGUGGGCGGACUAUUAAGUCAGGGGUGAAAUCCCGGGGCUCAACCCCGGAACUGCCUUUGAUACUGGUAGUCUUGAGUUCGAGAGAGGUGAGUGGAAUUCCGAGUGUAGAGGUGAAAUUCGUAGA
This 557-nucleotide ribosomal RNA is filed under the name uncultured Phyllobacterium sp. RNAcentral describes it as "bacterial SSU rRNA". It matches the Rfam family "Bacterial small subunit ribosomal RNA", at positions 102 to 694 of the family's 1533-position model. Lineage: Bacteria; Pseudomonadati; Pseudomonadota; Alphaproteobacteria; Hyphomicrobiales; Phyllobacteriaceae. The record is from RNAcentral.